This 767-nucleotide ribosomal RNA is filed under the name uncultured Bacteroidota bacterium. RNAcentral describes it as "bacterial SSU rRNA". It matches the Rfam family "Bacterial small subunit ribosomal RNA", at positions 73 to 845 of the family's 1533-position model. The record is from RNAcentral. Lineage: Bacteria; Pseudomonadati; Bacteroidota.
UAUGUCUUCGGAUAUAGAGACCGGCGCACGGGUGCGUAACGCGUAUGCAAUCUACCUUUUACAGAGGAAUAGCCCAGAGAAAUUUGGAUUAAUGCCCCAUAGUAUAAUUGAAUGGCAUCAUUUAAUUAUUAAAGUCACAACGGUAAAAGAUGAGCAUGCGUCCCAUUAGUUAGUUGGUAAGGUAACGGCUUACCAAGACAAUGAUGGGUAGGGGUCCUGAGAGGGAGAUCCCCCACACUGGUACUGAGACACAGACCAGACUCCUACGGGAGGCAGCAGUGAGGAAUAUUGGACAAUGGGCGCAAGCCUGAUCCAGCCAUGCCGCGUGCAGGAAGACGGUCCUAUGGAUUGUAAACUGCUUUUAUACAGGAAGAAACACUCCGACGUGUCGGAGCUUGACGGUACUGUAGGAAUAGGGAUCGGCUAACUCCGUGCCAGCAGCCGCGGUAAUACGGAGGAUCCAAGCGUUAUCCGGAAUCAUUGGGUUUAAAGGGUCCGUAGGCGGUUUAAUAAGUCAGUGGUGAAAUCUGGUCGCUCAACGAUCAAACGGCCAUUGAUACUGUUAGACUUGAAUUAUAAGGAAGUAACUAGAAUAUGUAGUGUAGCGGUGAAAUGCUUAGAUAUUACAUGGAAUACCAAUUGCGAAGGCAGGUUACUACUUAUGGAUUGACGCUGAUGGACGAAAGCGUGGGGAGCGAACAGGAUUAGAUACCCUGGUAGUCCACGCCGUAAACGAUGGAUACUAGCUGUUGGAAGCAAUUUCAGUG